CCUACGGGCGGCAGCAGUGAGGAAUAUUGGUCAAUGGGCGGAAGCCUGAACCAGCCAAGUAGCGUGCGGGAUGAAGGCCCUACGGGUCGUAAACCGCUUUUGCACGGGGAUAACACCCUCCACUUGUGGAGGUCUGCAGGUACCGUGCGAAUAAGGGCCGGCUAAUUCCGUGCCAGCAGCCGCGGUAAUACGGAAGGCCCGAGCGUUAUCCGGAUUCAUUGGGCUUAAAGGGAGCGUAGGCGGGCGUUCAAGUCAGCGGUAAAAUCGCGCGGCUCAACCGCGCCCCGCAGUUGAAACUGGACGCAUUGAGUACGCAAGAGGCAGGCGGAAUUCGUGGUGUAGCGGUGAAAUGCAUAGAUAUCACGAGGAACCCCGAUUGCGAAGGCAGCCUGCCGGGGUGCGACUGACGCUGAGGCUCGAAGGUGCGGGUAUCAAACAGGAUUAGAUACCCCUGUAGUC
Molecule: ribosomal RNA, 459 nt
Filed under: uncultured bacterium
Lineage: Bacteria
Description: partial 16S ribosomal RNA
Rfam family: Bacterial small subunit ribosomal RNA
Source: RNAcentral